Molecule: long non-coding RNA, 400 nt
Organism: Saccostrea cuccullata (small rock oyster)
Lineage: Eukaryota; Metazoa; Mollusca; Bivalvia; Ostreida; Ostreidae
Exons: 2
Source: RefSeq, a predicted model, not a curated record
GCAUAUUAUACACCGAAUACCAGACAUGUCUCUUUAUCAUUAUUUCCAUUCACUGCCAUCAUGCUAUUCAUGUCGCAAUUGAGGCAAAAUAGCGGAAAUGCUGACUACGUCAACUGCAGAGGAGUGAACCUGGCGACUCCAAUAUCUUCAAGUUCAUCAAUUAAAACGAUCUAGAAGUCUGUUAAGUCAAUGUCCGAGCGAGAUACGAUGUCCAGAUCUGUUUAUUACAUUAGAGGUCUUGUGUGAAGUGCUGUCUGUCUGAUAUUCAUAACGGUUUAAUUAUUAUUGUAAAGCUCGUCAAGCCAUUAAAUGCUUGAUAUCUACGUAAAGGUUUACACCUUAUAUCUCAAUACAUUAAUGUAAAUGUCAAAUUGGAGUAAAAUCAUGGAGAACUUGAAAA